UACGAAGGGGGCUAGCGUUGCUCGGAAUCACUGGGCGUAAAGGGUGCGUAGGCGGGUCUUUAAGUCAGGGGUGAAAUCCUGGAGCUCAACUCCAGAACUGCCCUUGAUACUGAGGAUCUUGAGUUCGGGGGAGGUGAGUGGAACUGCGAGUGUAGAGGUGAAAUUCGUAGAUAUUCGCAAGAACACCAGUGGCGAAGGCGGCUCACUGGCCCGAUACUGACGCUGAGGCACGAAAGCGUGGGGAGGCAAACAGGG
This 255-nucleotide ribosomal RNA is filed under the name uncultured bacterium. RNAcentral's name for it is "partial 16S ribosomal RNA". It matches the Rfam family "Bacterial small subunit ribosomal RNA", at positions 524 to 777 of the family's 1533-position model. The record is from RNAcentral.